RNAcentral lists this ribosomal RNA (717 nucleotides) under uncultured fungus. RNAcentral describes it as "SSU rRNA". It matches the Rfam family "Eukaryotic small subunit ribosomal RNA", at positions 329 to 1050 of the family's 1831-position model. Lineage: Eukaryota; Fungi. The record is from RNAcentral.
UAGGAUAGAGGCCUACCAUGGUGGUAACGGGUAACGGGGUGUUAGGGCACGACACCGGAGAGGGAGCCUGAGAAACGGCUACCACAUCCAAGGAUGGCAGCAGGCGCGCAAAUUACCCAAUCCCGACACGGGGAAGUAGUGACAAUAAAUAACAAUACGGGGUUCUUUCGGAUCUCGUAAUUGGAAUGAGUACAAUUUAAAUCUCUUAACGAGGAACAAUUGGAGGGCAAGUCUGGUGCCAGCAGCCGCGGUAAUUCCAGCUCCAAUAGCGUAUAUUAAAGUUGUUGCAGUUAAAAAGCUCGUAGUUGAAUUUCGGGGUUAGUAGGUUGGUCAUGCCUCUGGUAUGUACUGGUCUCACUGAUUCCUCCUUCCUGAUGAACCGUAAUGCCAUUAAUUUGGUGUUGCGGGGAAUUUGGACUGUUACUUUGAAAAAAUUAGAGUGUUUAAAGCAAGCUAACGCUUGAAUACAUUAGCAUGGAAUAAUGAAAUAGGACGUUCGAUCCUAUUUUGUUGGUUUCUAGGAUUGACGUAAUGAUUAAUAGGGAUAGUUGGGGGCAUUAGUAUUCAAUUGUCAGAGGUGAAAUUCUUGGAUUUAUUGAAGACUAACUACUGCGAAAGCAUUUGCCAAGGAUGUUUUCAUUAAUCAAGAACGAAAGUUAGGGGAUCGAAGACGAUCAGAUACCGUCGUAGUCUUAACCAUAAACUAUGCCGACUAGG